This is a small nucleolar RNA of Neogale vison (American mink), 87 nucleotides long. The record is from Ensembl. NCBI's taxonomy places the organism in Eukaryota, Metazoa, Chordata, Mammalia, Carnivora, Mustelidae.
CCCCUGUGUUGAGUUGCCAUGCUAAUAUUGAGACACAGGUAUGGGGUGUUGUUGAGAUAAUUCUUUCCUAAUGUCUACCUGAGGAGC